Molecule: ribosomal RNA, 440 nt
Filed under: Bacillus sp. N-0-55-8
Lineage: Bacteria; Bacillati; Bacillota; Bacilli; Caryophanales; Bacillaceae
Description: bacterial SSU rRNA
Rfam family: Bacterial small subunit ribosomal RNA
Source: RNAcentral
AGAGUUUGAUCAUGGCUCAGGACGAACGCUGGCGGCGUGCCUAAUACACGCAAGUCGAGCGGGGGUUUUCGAACCCUAGCGGCGGACGGGUGAGUAACACGUAGGCAACCUGCCUCUCAGACCGGGAUCAACAUAGGGAAACUUAUGCUAAUACCGGAUAGGUUUUUGGAUCGCAUGAUCUGAAAAGGAAAGAUGGCGUUUGCUAUCACUGGGAGAUGGGCCUGCGGCGCAUUAGCUAGUUGGUGGGGUAACGGCCUACCAAGGCGACGAUGCGUAGCCGACCUGAGAGGGUGACCGGCCACACUGGGACUGAGACACGGCCCAGACUCCUACGGGAGGCAGCAGUAGGGAAUUUUCCACAAUGGACGAAAGUCUGAUGGAGCAACGCCGCGUGAACGAUGAAGGUCUUCGGAUGUAAAGUUCUGUGUCAGGGACGAAUA